RNAcentral lists this ribosomal RNA (482 nucleotides) under Enterobacter hormaechei subsp. hoffmannii MRSN 11248. Its description in RNAcentral is "bacterial LSU rRNA". It matches the Rfam family "Bacterial large subunit ribosomal RNA", at positions 2465 to 2925 of the family's 2925-position model. The record is from RNAcentral. Lineage: Bacteria; Pseudomonadati; Pseudomonadota; Gammaproteobacteria; Enterobacterales; Enterobacteriaceae.
ACUCCGGGGAUAACAGGCUGAUACCGCCCAAGAGUUCAUAUCGACGGCGGUGUUUGGCACCUCGAUGUCGGCUCAUCACAUCCUGGGGCUGAAGUAGGUCCCAAGGGUAUGGCUGUUCGCCAUUUAAAGUGGUACGCGAGCUGGGUUUAGAACGUCGUGAGACAGUUCGGUCCCUAUCUGCCGUGGGCGCUGGAGAAUUGAGGGGGGCUGCUCCUAGUACGAGAGGACCGGAGUGGACGCAUCACUGGUGUUCGGGUUGUCAUGCCAAUGGCACUGCCCGGUAGCUAAAUGCGGAAAGAUAAGUGCUGAAAGCAUCUAAGCACGAAACUUGCCCCGAGAUGAGUUCUCCCUGAGACUUUAAGUCUCCUGAAGGAACGUUGAAGACGACGACGUUGAUAGGUCGGGUGUGUAAGCGCAGCGAUGCGUUGAGCUAACCGAUACUAAUGAACCGUGAGGCUUAACCUUACAACGCCGAAGCUGUU